Non-coding RNA from Paramuricea clavata, 209 nucleotides. The record is from the annotation of a GenBank genome assembly. Lineage: Eukaryota; Metazoa; Cnidaria; Anthozoa; Malacalcyonacea; Plexauridae.
UUCUUGAGACACCAACGUGGUGGGAAUAUCGCUGGGUUUCGUGGUGCACGUAUGCAAAGGGGAUAUGGGAUCGGAAGUAUUUUCAAGAGCCUUGCGAGAUAUGCUAUUCCUCUGUUCAAAUAAGGUGCUAAAGUUGUUGGAAAAAGAGCAUUGCAAGCAGCCACAGAAGUUGGUCAAGACGUAAUCCAAGGAAAAAAUGUAAAAGAAGC